UGGUGGAACUUCAGAUGCUGUUGGUAGGCUGUGGGCAGGGUGCCUUUCUGUCUGCUGACAGUGGUUGGUCUCCGUCAACAAAGACCCUUUGUGGGCCAUGCAGAGGAGCCUCUGCUAGGAUUGUUAUGGACAGGGCCACCUUCUGCCCAUCUGCCAGCAGUAACUGAUCUCAGUCCACCACGGCUGGCAGCUCACUUCAGCUGGCCCAUGUAAGCCAGGCAGCAAUGCUUUUGCUGGGAUAGCUGUGGGUGGGGCUGCCCUCUGCUUGCCCAACGGUAAUGGCAGUGCUGCUGGGCUGAUAGGGUGGGCAGAGGCGUGCAGCGAGGAGCUGGGCUAACAGCAAGGAGGAAGGAGUGUUUGGAGCUGGCUCCUGCAGGUGCCUCCCCAGUUGAGCUGAGAAAGGACCGGGAAAAUCUCUGCACCUGCCAGGCAGCAAAGUCUGAGUGCUGCUGGGCCAGUUGGGCCAGACAGGCAGGCAGCUGCUCAGAGAAGCACCUCAGGGCUUGGCCGCCAGCAAUGGGUAUAGAGUAUUUGGGGGUCCCACAAGCACCUGACCAGUUGAACUGAGGCAGGCCUGGGGAUGCAUCGUCACAUGCCUUUUCUCCUGUGGAGAGAGCUGCAUCCAACCCCUGGCCCUCCAGCACCCUUUGUGCUGCUGGUAAAUCUUUCACACUGCCACCUCUGUGUUGGGUCUCAGUGGAACCAACGAAAUGUGCCUGUUCUCCACAACCAACUAGAAUCUCAGCCUCCCAGAGUGCUCCAACUCUCCCCAGUGGCCAGCCCCAUUAAUCAUCAAAGCCCAGUGCAAACUCAUUUUCCCAGAGCAGAUCUCCAGGGCCAGGUGUGCAGAGUUCCCUAGCACUUCUCCCUCCCUGCUCUGGGCUGGGAUGUGGGAAGGGCUUGAGUCUUGAUUGAUCAGUUCUGCCACUUUGUUUUUCUCUAUGUGGGCUUCUCUUCUCCAGGUACAGAUGGUCUGUCCUGCCAUCUGAAGGUCAUUUUCAGGUUUGGUUAAAUUUGCUGUAGUUGCUUCCUUGCUGUGUAUGUGGGAGGAGGUUUCCUCAUUGCCUUCCUACUCUGCCGUCUUUUUAACCAGAAAUCCAUUACUAUUACUAUUAUUAUCAAGUCCUUUACAGGCAUCAUCUCACUGAAUUCUUGCAACAUUCCCAAAUCUUGUUAUCCCCAUUCGGUAAGAAGGAAAGCGGAAGCUGUGUAAUUUGUCCAGUGUCAGUGAACCAGCAGGGGCAGAGCCAGUAGGUGGCAGAGCUGGACUUUGAACCUGCAUCUCUGACUGCAGAGCCUAAACCUUUCACCAUUAGUUUGUGCUUUUUCACAAUGAUUAAGGCUGCUGCCUUAGCACAGGGCUUCCCAUUUGCCUAGUUAAAUGAGAUUGUACAUGAAUAAUAUCAUACUAUUUCCUUUAUAAGAAAUAAAUUAAAGGAAUCUGAUAAAGCAGUCUGAUAGGGACCUUGGGUGAAUAAAUGCACCCAUUAGCCUGGGGAGUAUUCCAGGCAGCUUGGGCAGAGGGGCUCUAGAGCUAUACCCAAGGCCAUCUGAUCCCUGGUGCCCUCAGCACAAAACUGCCAGGACAACCCCAGUUAGCAUUUCUUUGCAGUCUGCUUACUGGGUUGAGUGGUACCUGAUACCCUCUGGGUCACUUUGCUUUGAACAAGGGCUUGGUUCCCUUAGGAAUCAGUGCAGGCCAUGUUGUGUGGGCCACUAGGCCUUGGAGAAGAGCCCAAAACUCUCCUGACUGGACCAGAGCCUGUGAUAUCUUCUUUCCUUAUUUACAGCCAGCUUGGCAUUUGUGACCUAGAUCAAUUCUGCACGUCCUCUUCCCUUUUGGGAGACACUCAUUGGUCAAAGACACUUCAUCAGCGGGUUCCCGUGGGUCCCCUGUGUCUCCUGGGAAGUAGCUGGGGAGGGAAAAAUGGACUCCAGUGGGAGAGCUGACCUCAGGCGCCAGAGCCUCCUCUGCAAGCACUUUCCUGUUCACGGUGUCCUCAAACUCUCCAGGAUUCUGGUAUUCAUCCUGGGGCAGUGCCUCUCGUUUGCAUCGCAGUGCAGAUGUGCUCUUCUGCAGAACUGUCACCUCCUCCAACAACCCUUCCCUGCCCCACAAUCACCCAUGUUCCCUAUCUCUUUAUAACGUUUACUCGUUCGUGGUUCCAGUUUUGUGGUUUUCACACUUACUGCCCCUGCCCUCUCUGCCUGACUGUAUACUCCAUGCAGGUAGGGGCCAUGUCCUUUUAUUCCCUGGAGUCAGCCUUGAGAACCGAUGGUGCAGUGGCCUUUCUGUCUGCGUCUCAGGCAGUCCCUUCUCUUCCUCCUUCCCUGGCUCUGGCGCUUUCUCCUCUUCUUAAAUGGUGCAUCCCUCUGGGCUGGCUCUUACCUUCAACUCUUGAUGUGUUUCCUAAGCCAUCUCCCUCACGCACAAACCUUCAGUUCACCACAUGACAUCUUUGUAUGUCUUAAAGGCACACCAAAUUCCCAGUGUCCACGGCAGAACACAGGGUCUCUCCCCUAGACCUCGGCCCCUUCACAGUGUUCGCUAGGUGAAUGGCUCCUUCGCAGCAGUGUGGGCCAGCUGGGAACAUGGGAGUCAUCCUAAUACCUCCUCAUUGUUUACCCACCCCCACUCCCAUCACGUUUAUUCCCGACCUGUCUACUUGGCCCCAUUUUCGCGCUCCCCACCCUAGUCCUUGCAACCUGCUCUUUUCACCUGACUGGCCUAUUAAAGAACCUUCCUGCUUCUAUUCUGGUCCCCUCCAUUCUCAUGCUCUAGCCAGAAUGUUCCUGAAAUACAAAUUUGAUCAUGUUACUAACAUUCCUCCCUCCUCCACACACAAUUUAAAACUGCUACAGCAAGAGCCAACAGCCCAGAUGCUCAGCAGACUGAUCCAGGAGAUGUGCUCUGUGGGUGACCUCUUGUGAUCCUCCAGCAUCUGGCCUCUGUGCUGGGGGUGUCCCUCUCUGGUGGGCGCCCUCUUAGACAGUAUCCCUUCAGGAUGCUCCAGCCGGGUUACUUUCCAAGGUCUCCUUUUGACUUGCAAAGAGAACAGACAUCCGUGCCACACCAGUUAACACCAGUGCCUCUCUCCAAUGAGGGCACCCUAAGCCACAGUUUAGCUGUGUGCUUUUAGAUUGCAGUUGAACACCAGUCUGUAGGGUUCCCUAAACUCCCCAAGACAUGUAUAAAUUCUCAAAUGGGCUCCGGGAAGGGAGCUGGGACUUGGCCCAGUUCUUCCUAAAGAAAUCUUCUCUUCCUCCCUCUUCUACCUCAACUCUUAGCCAGGAGUGGGGUGGAAGUAAGGGUCACAGACAGGUGUGAGAUCAACUCUUUCGCUAGUGCUGAGUACAUGGGCCAUCACUUCACUUUGGAAUACGGGAGCACUUUGCCAUCUCCUAAAUCCUUUUUGGGCCAGAGGCAGAAUUGAUUGGACAGCAUUCCAGCUACAGAAUUGUUUUACUAGCAAGUGUUCAAUGGAAGGAAUCGGUUAGAAUCUACCAUUAUGAGCCAAGAAGGGUUAUGUGGCUCUCGGAGCAGCUCUAAGCAGCUAGAGCGCCCAUGACAGCACCAGCAAGCCGAGAGGGCCAAAGCGCUCACUGGGCUCCACUCUGCCUGAUGCCUGAGGUUAGAGAGCAGGGUCUUCUGAAGCUCUCAACCUCCCCUGCCCCUGCUGACCUCCUUCCCUCUCAGGCAGCCCCUGCACCCCAUCUGGGGCCCCUCUCUACCAGCAUCAUCCCUGGCUGCAGCCUGGAGGGGUUGCUUCUGGGAGAGAUGGUUCUGUAAGAGGCACCCCCCCAGCCCGCUGCUGAGUAGCUGCGGACUUCAGCGCCACCACCCCAGCCACAUCGGCCAGCCACACUUCUCUUGGAAACCACAGACGCUUCUUGCUUCAGUCGAGUGGCAAGAGCCCUCACUUGCUCAGAAAUCCCAUGGCCCAGGCACAGAAUAUCUGUGCCUCCUCUCACCGAGGCAGCCCUGGCUAUGAUCAUGAAGGCGAUGCCGUUUGUGAGGUGCUUGUGACCACCGUGGGGUGGUGGGUGGGGGGCAUCUCAUGUAUGUAGUCAGGAUGUAAAUUGGCACCUUUCCAGAAAGCCGUUCAGAAUGUGUAUCAAGAGCAGGAAGAGCAUUUGUGCCUUUUGACUGAGAGGUUCUAUUUGAGCAUCUUCCAUUUCAGGGGCAGUCUGUAACAGAGGGAGUUCUGCCUGUCAUGGGGAGUCCACUUGCAUUACUGGGAAUUCUUUGAUGUAGCUUCUUCUGGAUCCCAUGGGAUUUGCUGCUUUAAUAACAUGUACCCCUUCUUUGGUCCAGUCAUGUGUUGACCAUAGAGAUGGUGUAGACAGUCCAGGUGGAUUUUAGCCUGUGUAAUUGGACAAUGUUGUCUAAGGGGGCCUGUUCCCAAAAGAUACAUGGUUCUCAAAAGGACACUGGUGUGGUGCUGGGUGCAUAAAAAUUUGUGGGUGGAGCCUCUAAAAAAGGAAAUUGUAUGAACCCUUUCCUCCUACUCUGAUCCAAUAAGUCUUGGUGGUUUCCAGAAAUAUCUAGUUUUAGAAUGCUUCCUCGUAGAUUCUGAUACUUCUAGAGGUUAAAGAACCACAGUGUAAACUGUAAUCUAGAAUAGUCCAUUUUGCUUUUAGAUUUAUUUUCUUAUUUUCAUGGGAAUAUUGUAUGUCACACAGGAUCUAGGCAUUCAAAAAAUAUCUGAAAUACCAAACAGGCAUUCUUAUCACAAAGUUGUAAGAAGUGUAAUUACAAAAGAUACUAGGUAGCCCCUACACCACUUUUAAGUACAUGCACUGCAUAUAUAGAGAAAUCUAGAAUGACUUCACUAUGCAAAAGUGUUCCUUCUGCUCACAAGCCAAGUGUGGGCAUUACUUCCUUACCUGGGGUCAUGUGAGGUAGGUGUAUGUUUCAAUGCUCACCUUCCCAGCACUUCUGAGAUUCCACAAAAGGAUAUGAUGUUAGAAGCACCUCAAAAUGAUUUUCAUUUCUAUUGAAAUAGGUAUAUGUUUCAAUGCUCACCUUCCAGGCACUGUCUGUUCUCCAUUCUGCCUGCAGUUCAGUUAGUAAAUCAGGGCUGCAAGUCUUCAUUUAGGUAGAUAUAUCUAUUUGGUAGGAGGUGUUUUUAACUUUGCCUGCUGGUUCUCAAAAUGUACUGGACAUUGAAGUCACCAAACUUCAAAACCAAAUUCCUGGAUGCACUGACUAAUCCCAUCAGUCUCAGGGUGGAGGCAUGAUUCUAGGUAGUGAUGUUUUUGAAGUCCACAGCAUGGUGCAGCAUGGUUGAGAAUUAUUGUGCCUAACUCUGCCCGAGGUAAGAAAAGCAGUGUAGCAGGAAUCUCCAUUGAAAAGUCAGGAGAAAAAGAUUUUCCUUGCACCCUAUCUCCAUUCAUGGUUUCAUGAUUACUUUGUGCCCAAUGUCCUGUGGUUUGCUUUUUUCCUUUUUUUGUUUUCACAGCCUUCAAGCAUUCUCAGUGUGUCUGUACCUGUACUGCAAUUUUAUUACAUUCAGAAACUCCAAACACUCUUACUGCUAAAAUAAAAUAAUGUAUUAAAGUUCCUGACAUUUAGAAGGUUCUUGAUAAAUGAUGGCUAUUCUAUCCCAGGUUACAAAAAAAACCAUUUUCCCUCAGACUCUGGCCAUGUGGGGCCCCCAGUUACCCAGGAUGCUUUUAAAAAUGGACAUCCUGGUCUCUGCCCAUACUUGGAAAUCAGAAUCUCUGGGUGGUGGUUCCAUGAAUCUGGAUAUUUUAACAAGUUCCUUGGUGGUGCUUGUACCAUAAAGUUGGGUCACCCUUGUGGCCAAACUCAAGUCACAAGAUCAACCCAGGUUCAAGGAGGUGCAGAAAUAAACGCUGCCUCUUGAUGAGAGAAGUCAUAAAGUCGCAUUCCUAGGGUUGUGGAUGCACAGAGGACAGGAGUUGGUGCCAUCUAAGCAAACGACCUACCAUGUGCAUUACCUGAACUUUGAGUGCUCAGGUGAUGCACAGCGAGAAGGCACAAUGCUCUGACAGCUCUCGAUGGGGCGCCGGGCCCCGGAAGGACCUGUGUGCACUGACGCCGGGGCGAGUCCUCAUACGGCAAGUCUGCUUCCAGUAUCUCACACUGAUAGCCUGAUGUACAUCCUCAAGGCAGAUACGCAAAGUGUUCAGGAAAUUGUUCAAGAUACUCAGAAAAUUGCCCAAAGAAGGCGUUACAGGAGCAGGCCAGUGCAAGAGGGAGAAUUAAGAAGGCUCUGAUCCUGUGUUCAAUGCCCCUUUCCCAUUCUACAUUACUACUCUGAUUAACAAGAGAUAAUAGUAAAACUAAUUUGCCUCUUCCUGAGAUGACAAUUGAUAUUUUAAAGGGUAACAAUAACUGUACAUUCCACACAAGUUACACUACUGCAAUAGUCCAUUAAUGCAAUAUCAAGUGAUCAUAAAAAGUAUCACAAGGAAACUGUGAUCAGGAAUACGGUGAAAAAAUGACAUAAUUCUGAUGUCUUUCAGAAUGCAGAUCCCAAUAAUCAAGCAGAAACAAAUGUAGGCUAGACUGCUACUCCAAUAUACAUAUAUACACAAAAACAAAUAAUCAGCAUUCAGUUUUGCCAAUUUUAUUGAACCAAUAAAAUUCCUACUAAUAACAAUGAAAUAAAUUUCUGCAAGUAUAAAUGUGAUACAGUUUAACAAAACCCAUUGUUCUGUACCUAUAAAUAGAUUUUCAAAAUGUCAUAAAAAGUGCAGUUAUGAAUUGUUAACAUGUUAAUACAGUUCCUUUAUUUCAAA
Non-coding RNA from Manis javanica (Malayan pangolin), 6768 nucleotides. The record is from RefSeq and is a predicted model, not a curated record. NCBI's taxonomy places the organism in Eukaryota, Metazoa, Chordata, Mammalia, Pholidota, Manidae.